AGUGAACGCUGGCGGUAGGCCUAACACAUGCAAGUCGAACGGCAGCACAGUAAGAGCUUGCUCUUACGGGUGGCGAGUGGCGGACGGGUGAGGAAUACAUCGGAAUCUACUUUUUCGUGGGGGAUAACGUAGGGAAACUUACGCUAAUACCGCAUACGACCUACGGGUGAAAGCAGGGGAUCUUCGGACCUUGCGCGAUUGAAUGAGCCGAUGUCGGAUUAGCUAGUUGGCGGGGUAAAGGCCCACCAAGGCGACGAUCCGUAGCUGGUCUGAGAGGAUGAUCAGCCACACUGGAACUGAGACACGGUCCAGACUCCUACGGGAGGCAGCAGUGGGGAAUAUUGGACAAUGGGCGCAAGCCUGAUCCAGCUAUACCGCGUGGGUGAAGAAGGCCUUCGGGUUGUAAAGCCCUUUUGUUGGGAAAGAAAAGCAGCAGGUUAAUACCCCGCCGUUCUGACGGUACCCAAAGAAUAAGCACCGGCUAACUUCGUG
RNAcentral lists this ribosomal RNA (492 nucleotides) under uncultured bacterium. RNAcentral describes it as "partial 16S ribosomal RNA". It matches the Rfam family "Bacterial small subunit ribosomal RNA", at positions 29 to 507 of the family's 1533-position model. The record is from RNAcentral.